AGUGAACGCUGGCGGUAGGCCUAAUACAUGCAAGUCGAACGGCAGCACAGUAAGAGCUUGCUCUUACUGGUGGCGAGUGGCGGACGGGUGAGGAAUACAUCGGAAUCUACUUUUUCGUGGGGGAUAACGUAGGGAAACUUACGCUAAUACCUCAUACGACCUACGGGUGAAAGCAGGGGAUCUUCGGACUUUUCGCGAUUGAUUGAGCCGAUGUCGGAUUAGCUAGUUGGCGGGGUAAAGGCCCACCAAGGCGACGAUCCGUAGCUGGUCUGAGAGGAUGAUCAGCCACACUGGAACUGAGACACGGUCCAGACUCCUACGGGAGGCAGCAGUGGGGAAUAUUGGACAAUGGGCGCAAGCCUGAUCCAGCCAUACCGCGUGGGUGAAGAAGGCCUUCGGGUUGUAAAGCCCUUUUGUUGGGAAAGAAAAGCAGCAGGUUAAUACCCCGCUGUUCUGACGGUACCCAAAGAAUAAGCACCGGCUAACUUCGUG
RNAcentral lists this ribosomal RNA (492 nucleotides) under uncultured bacterium. Its description in RNAcentral is "partial 16S ribosomal RNA". It matches the Rfam family "Bacterial small subunit ribosomal RNA", at positions 29 to 507 of the family's 1533-position model. The record is from RNAcentral.